GACGUAGGGCGCGAGCGUUGUCCGGAUUUAUUGGGCGUAAAGAGCUCGUAGGCGGCUUGUUGCGUCAGCUGUGAAAACCCGCAGCUCAACUGUGGGCUUGCAGCUGAUACGGGCAGGCUUGAGUUCGGUAGGGGAGACUGGAAUUCCUGGUGUAGCGGUGAAAUGCGCAGAUAUCAGGAAGAACACCCGUGGCUAAGGCGGCUCUCUAGUACGGUACUGACGCUGAGACGCGAAAGCGUGGGGAGCGAACAGG
Molecule: ribosomal RNA, 253 nt
Filed under: uncultured bacterium
Lineage: Bacteria
Description: partial 16S ribosomal RNA
Rfam family: Bacterial small subunit ribosomal RNA
Source: RNAcentral